CCUACGGGAGGCAGCAGUGGGGAAUCUUCCGCAAUGGACGAAAGUCUGACGGAGCAACGCCGCGUGAGUUAUGACGGCCUUCGGGUUGUAAAGCUCUGUUAAUCGGGACGAAAGGCCUUCUUGCGAAUAGUUAGAAGGAUUGACGGUACCGGAAUAGAAAGCCACGGCUAACUACGUGCCAGCAGCCGCGGUAAUACGUAGGUGGCAAGCGUUGUCCGGAAUUAUUGGGCGUAAAGCGCGCGCAGGCGGAUUGGUCAGUCUGUCUUAAAAGUUCGGGGCUUAACCCCGUGAUGGGAUGGAAACUGCCAAUCUAGAGUAGCGGAGAGGAAAGUGGAAUUCCUAGUGUAGCGGUGUAAUGCGUAGAUAUUAGGAAGAACACCAGUGGCGAAGGCGACUUUCUGGACGAAAACUGACGCUGAGGCGCGAAAGCCAGGGGAGCGAACGGGAUUAGAUACCCUAGUAGUC
Molecule: ribosomal RNA, 465 nt
Filed under: uncultured Veillonella sp.
Lineage: Bacteria; Bacillati; Bacillota; Negativicutes; Veillonellales; Veillonellaceae
Description: bacterial SSU rRNA
Rfam family: Bacterial small subunit ribosomal RNA
Source: RNAcentral